UGGGGAAUAUUGCACAAUGGGCGAAAGCCUGAUGCAGCGACGCCGCGUGCGGGAUGAAGGCCUUCGGGUUGUAAACCGCUUUUGAUUGGGGAGCAAGCGAGAGUGAGUGUACCUUUCGAAUAAGCACCGGCUAACUACGUGCCAGCAGCCGCGGUAAUACGUAGGGUGCAAGCGUUAUCCGGAAUUAUUGGGCGUAAAGAGCUCGUAGGCGGUUUGUCGCGUCUGGUGUGAAAGUCCAUCGCUUAACGGUGGAUCUGCGCCGGGUACGGGCAGGCUAGAGUGCGACAGGGGAGACUGGAAUUCCCGGUGUAACGGUGGAAUGUGUAGAUAUCGGGAAGAACACCAAUGGCGAAGGCAGGUCUCUGGGUCGUCACUGACGCUGAGGAGCGAAAAGCGUGGGGAGCGAACAGGAUUAGAUACCCUGGUAGUCCAC
Molecule: ribosomal RNA, 433 nt
Filed under: uncultured bacterium
Lineage: Bacteria
Description: partial 16S ribosomal RNA
Rfam family: Bacterial small subunit ribosomal RNA
Source: RNAcentral